AGUGAACGCUGGCGGCGUGCCUAAUACAUGCAAGUCGAACGGAGAUUAAGUAGCUUGCUAUUUAAUCUUAGUGGCGCACGGGUGAGUAAUAUAUAGCUAACUUGCCCAUUACUAAGGGACAACAGUUGGAAACGACUGCUAAUACCUUAUACUCCGUAUCUAUAUAAGUAGAUACGGGAAAGUUUUUCGGUAAUGGAUAGGGCUAUAUCGUAUCAGCUAGUUGGUAAGGUAAUGGCUUACCAAGGCUAUGACGCGUAACUGGUCUGAGAGGAUGAUCAGUCACACUGGAACUGAGACACGGUCCAGACUCCUACGGGAGGCAGCAGUAGGGAAUAUUGCUCAAUGGGGGAAACCCUGAAGCAGCAACGCCGCGUGGAGGAUGACACUUUUCGGAGCGUAAACUCCUUUUCUUGGGAAAGAAUUAUGACGGUACCCAAGGAAUAAGCACCGGCUAACUCCGUA
Molecule: ribosomal RNA, 462 nt
Filed under: uncultured bacterium
Lineage: Bacteria
Description: partial 16S ribosomal RNA
Rfam family: Bacterial small subunit ribosomal RNA
Source: RNAcentral